CUGAUAGAGGCGCAGCAAAGAUGAGUAUCGGCGGAAAGCACCCGCUUUUCCGUGUCCGCCGUGAAAGGCAAUGCUGCCGAAGAUCCAUCGCCCGAAGCGGCGGACGAUGCUUCUGAUCGUAUAUCGAACAGGUAUGCGAUUGUCAUCAUUUUGUAUGAUGGAGUGCUAUCG
RNAcentral lists this non-coding RNA (171 nucleotides) under pig gut metagenome. Its description in RNAcentral is "Lysine riboswitch". It matches the Rfam family "Lysine riboswitch aptamer". From Rfam's summary of the family: Riboswitches are metabolite binding domains within certain messenger RNAs that serve as precision sensors for their corresponding targets. The record is from RNAcentral.